Molecule: long non-coding RNA, 238 nt
Filed under: Elaeis guineensis (African oil palm)
Lineage: Eukaryota; Viridiplantae; Streptophyta; Magnoliopsida; Arecales; Arecaceae
Description: long non-coding RNA (EGUI_LNC012870)
Source: RNAcentral
CUGAGGAUCUAAUUAGUCAUCCCUCUAGAGGUUCCCUAAGAGUCUCCCUCUGCUUCUCGAAUGACUUCGGCUCUGUAGGAGUUUUGUAAGUUAGCCCCAUCUCAGAGUCGUUGAGGUCUUCUUGAGAGUCUGGUAAGUUAGCCCUCGUGCUAGUUGACCAUCAUUAUGGUUCAAGAUCUCAAGUAGGAAGAGGAGACAACUCUUGGGAGACUCGGGCGCCCAUCACAAACUGAUGGCC